Long non-coding RNA from Pteropus alecto (black flying fox), 9724 nucleotides. RefSeq lists it as uncharacterized. The record is from RefSeq and is a predicted model, not a curated record. The transcript is spliced from 3 exons. Lineage: Eukaryota; Metazoa; Chordata; Mammalia; Chiroptera; Pteropodidae.
UUUUCCCAGAAAAAUAAUACCACUUUGCCCCGUUUAUUGCAUUUAGAUGUGUAAUCAUAUUAGACUAAGCAGCCCGGGGGACCAAAGUUACGUAGUUAGAGUUUUCACCAAAGCCUGUUACCCUGUCUUCAGAGGAAAACAGUGUCCUCAGUAAAAAAAGAAAACAAGGACCAUUUUUGAGGAAUUUCUCCCUUGCCAUUUAAAGGACAUAUGCUUCCAUCAGGGUGAGAAGCACGACCCAGGGAGAAAAACCAGAAAGUGAAACUAACUUGACUGGCCAGUGUCAGUGCAGCUCUGCCUCGGCCCAGGCAAUGCUCGCCCAGCCUAGUCCCGGCCUCAUCGGCAAACGAUGUUUGUCAAUCAGACAAGUAGCACAUGUCCUGCACGGGGCCAGAGUAAAUGCCAGAGAGGAUGCCUGUGUCCUUUCCACCAGGAGUCGUGGUGUUCCGGCACUGUUUACCACAAUGGCAGGACUGUGAGGGGCAGUUCUCUGCCUCCCUCAGGCUUUUCCUUGUUGGGGCAGGCAGCCCUGAUUAAAUAUAGUCCUGGAGGUCAUGGGCAGCUUCUGUGGUUGGGAGGGCUUACCUGGCUGCUGCUCACGUUCACUAGACACACCUCCUAGGCACUUGGCAUUGGGAGGAAAGCCCUGCCUAUAACACACUCACCUGCAGGCCCUCUCCCCACGUAGCCAUCCCCUCUUACCUUCUUACCCUGAGUGUUGUGUCAGGCAGGCUAAAAACAUGCCCCAAUCACACAGUAAAAUCCUUCCUCAAAAUCUGCUCAGUGCCAGGGUUAAGUAGGGAUCACCAGCGGAGUCCAGAACCUCUUGCCCAAUUUGAGAUUUAGAAAUCUCAGGCGCUGAGGAAAUUUCUCGGAGUCAUUCAUAGGAGUGCUCUGUUAAGAAAGAGGAUAUGAUAUUUCAGAAAGUUAAUACUGUGUUGCAUUAAAAGGAGGUUGGGGUGGGGGGAUCCAAUUGAUUCCAGGACGUCCAGUAUGUUAUUGCCGAAAUAUCUUUUUCAGAUAUCAUCCUUUAAUGCAGAAGAGCUGCAUUUUAUAGGAAGUGGUACAUCUGUUUACAGAGAGAGUGUGUUAAGAUAUUCUUUCAGUAACACUAUCUUAAGGUUUGAGGUGAUUUUUUAAAAAUUUUAUACUUUAGGCUUUCUGGAUAUUUUACACUUUUUUGAAGAAGUGCUAUUAAAUUACAUAGAAGUAAUAUCUGUUUUUUUUUUUUGUUUUUCCGCCCAAAGGAGUAUAAUUAGAACAUCCGAAAUCAGAUUACCCAAUUAGUACAUUUUUCUAAUUAGCUGUUUAGGAAUUUGCGAUGAGAUAACUUAUUUUAAAUUUCCAAAUGAAACUUGGGCCACAGGGAGGCUUUGAGGAAGGUACGCAAGGGAAAAAAAUCAUGGGUUUUCAGUUUUAGCUGCUACCACUCACCUGCUCCCCCAAAACACCUAAGUGCCUGCUCAUCAGGCAGCAACAGUGACCAGAAAACAGUUUUAUUGUCCUUGUCCCAAGUAAACGGAGUUCGAAAAAUUAUUCAUUGAUGUUGGCUUUUCUCUGCCCCUGACAAUAGAGUGGGCAGUCACUUUGCUACAUUCUUCAGGAAUAAUGUUAGUAGCUGUUUGGAGAAAAGAUUCGGGUGAUAUGAGUUCAGUUUGCGUUUUCUGUGUGCCUUGUGUGUGUGCUUUCUUUGAGCUAGGUGGCCACUGGGGCAGUCUGCAGGGGUGGGGAUGUCCAACCAAGACUUGGGAAUGAAGUCAGGACCCAGCUUUUGCACUUUGUGAUUGUCGUUGGUGCAGGCCCAUAAUCCUUUAUCUGAAAUUGUGAACUCCAAAAAACUCUGACGAUCAAAAGUUUUUGUAAUUAAUUUUGUGGGAAAACUCGACCCAAACCGACUUAAGACGUACAUAGUCUGUAUUUAUCUUGAGGAGUAUGAAUAUUCAUGGGUUUCAUUGCAGAGACAUUGAUAUGUUUGAUUAAGGGUGGUGCCCUGCUGGGGUCUUGCGUAAUAUGUGGUAUAAAUACUAUGUUACUUUUUUAAAGGCUGAAAAAUUCUGAAACAUGUAUGUCCUGAAGGUUUGGGGUAAGACAUUGUAGCCCUGUCAUAGGAACAUCAGCGUAAUGAAUAUGACAGCAACUCUGUGCCCCAAGGCAGAGUCGCAGCCUUUCCAGGACUUGCUUCUUCUUCGGUGACAGGAAGAGCCUGUAGGCUGAGUGAGGGGCCAGCUGGCCAGAUGACCAAACGGCAGGCCCCGAUGGCCCUCAAUGCCUGGUGAGUCCUUCCCUUACCAGGCCUUGAACUCCAUGAAGGCUCAGUGGAGCCUUGCUCGCUGUUUUAUCCUCGGUGCCCACUGCAUACUAGGUGCUGAGUGAAUAUUGAACUGGUCAGAAGCAGGGGUCAGCCAGCAAACAUCCGUGAAGGACCAGUAAAUAUUUUAGGCUUUGAGAGUCUCUGUUGCAACUCUUCUGCUCUGCGGUUGUGGCAUGAAAGCCAUAGAUAAUACGUGAAUACUAUACUUGUGUUUUCAAAAAACUUUAUAAAAACAAGUGCUAGACUGGGUUUGGCCCGUGGGCCCACAGUUUGCUGUCUCCUUGUGAGAAGGACAAGUGCAUCUGUAAACACUUUUUCCUUCACCAUAUGUUAGCCCUGCUAUCUGGUUGUCUUGUUUUCCUGUCCCAGUAGAGUCACCUUUAAAUAAAAGUUGCAGCUAUAACGCCAGUGCUCACCCCUGGCUUCAGCUCCUGUACAGUCUGGAAAUGUGGGCCAGCGUAAGGCGCUGCCUCUGACCUCGUUGGUGAGCAUGUGUAUUUGUGUGGACAGAUGCAUUCGGGCUCCAGUCCAGUUGGGCCAAGGGGCACUCAGACCUCCACCCACUGAUGAGUUUUGGGGGCCAAGCCAACCUCAAGGAACACUGGCCAUCAGUGUCAGGCCAAGCAGGGCUGGAGAGCUUUCAGGACGUGGUGGGGUGGGGGUGCUGAAGGAGUGGGAGUGAGUGUUUAAGAGCCAAGGUGUUCUUAACAAAAGAAUUUCUGGCAGAGAGAUUGGUUAUCGUAAACUUGGGCUCUGAUGGAUGAGAUUCAGGUCUCCUGGCUUUGUUCAUCCCAGGCCUGGAACGGCCUGCAAGGCUGAGUAGGCUUUCCACUGCAGCGGAGGCUUCAAGCCAGCCGAGCCCUCUAGCUCCCACCUCCAAAGCGGCCUGGCCUGGGGCAGACUGGGUAGGUGGCUGGAUGGAGGGGCAGGAUCCUGGAGAGCCAGCUCCCCUAAACUGGGAGCGCCAGCAUCCCUCUGCCCAGCCUGACCCAGCUCUCUGCCAGGGAAGUUUGGCCCCUAACUCGGAGCAGGCCUGGCCUCUUCAGGCCCUGGGAACAGACUCUCUCAGCCAGCCCCUGCCACAGGCCUUCUGUGUGCCCUGUGGCUUCUCUAUAGGAGGGGCUCCCCCAAGACAUUCUGGGACUUCUGCCCUCUGCCCAACCACCUCCUUUUAGUCAGGGUGUGACUGGUGCAUAUUUUUCUUUCUAGAGCAAAUUCCAAACAAGGGUGAUAUCUCUGCUUGGCCUUUCUUUUCCUUCCAUCAUGGUUUUUUGGGUUGUUGGCUGUGUUCAGAGUGGAGCCGCCUCAUUCUGCAGCUCCUCAGGAAGCCCUGACAGCUUUUCAGCCCUCGGCAGAAGUGGGCAGCCUCUCAGUCAUCACUGUGUAUUCAGCAGAGGCCAGGUAUAGAGCCAGGACUCGGGAAAGGCCUGAGGAACCAGACUGGGGGGCUGGUGUGUUUGGUGAUGGGUUAGCUCUGCUGUCAGAGCCAAGCCCAGGUGGGUCGCCUUUACCUACUGAGCGUGGCAUGGAGAGAUCCUCUGGCCAUGGCCCUGGGACAGCCCCAUCCCCCCAGUCUCACCUCCUUGUUAUUGAGCACCUAGGCCAGGCACUGCCUGUACCAUGGUGAUAAGACAGCCCAGAGCAGUGGUUCUCAAACUUGGGUGCCUCUGAAAACCACUUGAGGAGCCCAUUAGCAACGCAGACUCCUGGGCCGCCCAGUCAACCUCAGGGGCCCUGGAGCCAGCAUUGUUAAUAAGCAUAUAUGAGGCAGGUGGUCCCAGGACCAUGUUGCCUGUGAGCUGGUUGGUAGGUAAAGCAGUGUGAUGUGUAUGGGGUUGGGGAGCAGGGAGAAAGAAGGGUCUCUAAGCCAGGGAGGGGUUGGAGUCAGGAAAAGCAUGCAGCAGAGGUGAGCUAAAGCUUGAAUAACAGAGCAGGGGAUGGUCUUCAUAGCCCAAUCGAAUGCUUUGUGCCAGACGCAGUUCUCAGCCUUUGAUGGGAAUGAACUCAUUUAAUCCUCCCAACAACCCCUUCGAUUUCAAAAAGGAGCAGACUGAAGCACAGAGGGGUGAAUUAACUUGCCCAAGGUUCUAUGGCUAGUUCAUGGUGAGCUGGGUCUUACCCUCUUACUCCAUUCCCCUGGAUUGCGACCCAGGCACCAGCUCACGCAGAGGCCAUGCAGACUGAGGGCUGAGGCUGUGUAGUAGGUGAAGCAUGAUGCAGUCAUGUUGUUGAAUGGUUCAGAUGGCUCGGAUCCUAGCGUGUGCGGACAGCUUGGGUUUUGCCGGUAGGGGACAUGGCUGUGAUCUUGCUUAGGGGAGAAAGCUCUGGGUAAAGUGACAGUUGCCGUAAGAAUUUUAAGAGGGCUGAGGCUGUAGCUGGGGUUCCCAGCAUGCUUCCUCUCAAUCUGAACAAGGCAGGAUCUAGAAUGUGGGGCCAAGGUGCAGUGUUAGUGCCGGGGAGCAGCGAGGCCUGUGCCCUGUUGCUCUUCUGAGAGAGGAAGAAUUCUCUGUGGCCUGAGUUCUUGGACACCCCCAAGGAGCCUGUCCCAGCCCCUCUGCCCUUGGGGUCUGAAGGUAAGGGGGAAAGGAGAGGGGAAUACACUUGUGGUAAGAAGCCAGCUAAGUGCUCUGUAUACUUUCUUCCCUUCAAUCCUCACAUCACCCCACAAAGUAGGCUUAUCUAUUCCUGUUUACAGGCGUGAAGGCUGAGGGAAGUGCAGAGAAGUAAGGAGACUUCUACACAGACAUCAAGUAAGCAGAUAGUGGCACCGGGUCUGUCUUCCAUGGAUUGUGCUUUUCACCACAGUGGGGACAUGCAUGUCCCAUGUUCUGAGCGGCCUCAGGUCCUGCACACACAGAAGGACCACUGAAUAGAUACAGUGCCAGGCUGAGCAGGGACCCCGAUGUAGAGAGUUGAGCCCUGCCGGCCUGGGGGGCAGAAGGGAUCAGGCCAUAGAGGAGAACCCUAAACCAGGCUGCUUCCAGAAGCCCUUUCCAGCCUCUCAUAAGAAAAACAAUUGGUCACUAGCCCCUUCUCACCAUUCCCCUCACCUACCCCCACUUUCUUCCAGCCUGCCCUUCCCAGCCGAGCCUGUGAGCUCACUGAUUUGAACUUGAAAACCGUGGGGACAUACAGAAGUCUUUGCUCAUCACAGGCUGUUUUCGUGAAGGACGGGGAGGACCUGCCUUCCUGCUGCUGCCCACGGGAAGCUGCUGCCUUGUCCAGAGCUUCCCUCUGAUGAGGGUAGGGCGGGAUGUGGUCGAGCACAGGGAGGGCCGGACUGAGAUCUGGGCUCAGGCUGUAGCUCCCCAUGGUGCGCUGGUUCCCACAGUUGGCAGGCUCUUGCCUCCCACCGUGACAGAAGACCCGUGACUGUAAGCUUUUCAGGAAUAGUUUCUUUGGCUAUGACAACUGAAAUUCUCUUCUUUUGCUUUUCCUUUGAAGUGGGAGAGAUGGUGGUGGGAGCUUAGCUCCUUCUGGGCCCAUUUUACAGACAGGAUGACCAAGGCCACGACCGCUGGAGGGAAGCUUAACCACAGCUCAGGUCCGGGCCCUCUUGGAACCUUGUGUCUUUAAGCUGUUCUUUAAGAGGGUUUAGGGAGAGCAGCAGCUCCUCCUCAGAUGUUCUGGCUCAAGUUGGUCUUCUGGGUACCUCCCAGGGUUUUGUCCUCUGCCUGAACCAGGCCUGGCAUCUGAGGAAGGUAAAGCCAACUGUCUUCUGUUCGUGCAUCAGCGUCAGGGCUGUGACUGUCACUUAGGAGCUCAGUCUCUGCAAGGUGGGUCCACACGCCACACGGGAAGACAGAGGCCCCUCUCCUGGUCUUACUUCCUUCCUUGGUUCUUGGGCUGCACUUUUCCACUCAGGAUUCCGCCAGGACUCUAGUCCACGCCUCUCGGCGGGCAGGAGCUACUGGGUUCCAGUUGUCUCCUGGGCACGCCCUGGGGGUAGUGAGGCCAGCCACAGGCCAGACCAAGCAUUGGAGAGAACUGUGUCACUGUGGAGACCCCAUAACUACCCACCCUCCACAGAGCUUCCCCUGGGCUAUGCGAGGUGGGCCAGUGGGACUGAGGGGGUUACCGUCUUCACUCACCUGGGCCAGCCGGCCGACUGCUGCAGCGUGACUCAUCUGGAUCGUGUUCAAGUACAGCAAGAAAAAUGAGGGACUUUCAGGGGCAGCUGUGUUUUCUGACUCAGUCAUAAUGCCCCUAAAAAUCCUUAUUGUUCUUGCAAUGAGCAUCGAGCAGCGGCUGCCAACCUCACCCCUCGCCCGCCUGGCCAUGAUGGGAAUGGGGAGGGCUUCUAGGGUCCAGUGGGGAUGUCUUCUCCCAUCCUCCUGAAAUGAGAAUGAAUGGAGACUUGCUGGUCAUUAAAACAUUUUCGCUGGGCUGAUGCAUUAUUGGGGCAGGAUAUGCAUUGAGAUAUUCCUGCAUGGAUUGGAGCCCAAGAGAACACAGGGUCUCCCUGGUUUGUGUGCAGUCAAGGGCAACAGUGUUGGGCUGGCCAGGGUGCCCCACCUUUCCUGAACCAUUCAGGGGCACCUGGGCAGGAACUUGCACUGUGUUUUAAAACAGUCUACUCUCUGAGACCAGUGAGCUGGCCAGUUUGCAAAUACGCUUGCAGUGGGUUCAAGGUCUUUUCCCCCACUGUGCCCCUAGAGCUUUCUUUCUCUUGGCUGGGUGUUUUCUAUCCCUGUCUCACUUCCUGAGUCUCCUUCAUUCUCAGCAGGUGCCCCCACCUCUUCCAUCCCCACCCCACGGCUAUUUUGCCUAAGCCAAGGCCUUACCUUGGGGGAUUAUCAAGAAGCAGAAAUGCCAAUUUGUGAAAUCCCCCCCACCCCCACCGCCUUAACCCAAGAACACCAAUCCACAAGAAUGUCACCAAAUCCCACAGCAACAGAACCUUCCUCUCUAGCUGAGGGUGGGCAGGUGGCCUGCUUGUGGAUGGACAGACAGGGCAGGGAAGAGGCAGGAAAGAGGCAAGACCCACCUCAUGUCUCGAUCUUACAGGUUAGUAGGAGAAAUCCACCCUUGAGGUAUUUCUCAGGUUCCCUCGCAGGUGCUGACUCGAAAGCUCUCAUCACUCAAGAACAUAGCCAUAGGUGGUGCCCUGAAUGCCACAAUCCUCAUUCCUGGCCAGCUGGUCCCCUGCUCCUCGAGCUCUGGCUGUUCCAGCAGUGCCUCCACACCAGCUCUCCCAGAGACCGUGUCUAAGGAGCUGGGUUUGCUGUGGAGCUUCGGCAUUUUUCUGCCCCGGGGAGGGGCAGCUCCAAGGUAAAGAUCAAUAUGGCAGGUGGGGGAGUAGUGUUUAUCCCUCUUUGCUGAGAGGUGGGCGGGGCUCUUGUGAAAAUGACAUUUUUACAACUUGCAGUGGACACGGGGUGAUACAACACGUUCUAUUUUCCUUGGCUAAGCAUUUGCUAACUUCAAAUCAGCUAGCCCUGUGACUUCUUUGCCCUGCCCUCCCAUCCCCACAAAACUCCUUGUUCCUUGGGAUAAAGGCUGAGCAUGUUCCUCAGUCUUUAUCCCAAAACAUUUGCAAAAGACAGUACAUCAAUUUUUUUAAAGAAGGCAAUACAGCAAAAAUGCUGGUUUUUUUCCUCCAAAUUACGAAAGAGCUGCCUUCCACGGUAGAGCGUUUUGAAAAUACAAAAGGAUGAAAAAGGCAUAAAUGCUGGAGAUAAUGUCUGCUAAUGAAAUAUACUCUUCCAGCAUUUUUUUUUCCCCUGUGCACGUACACCCCCACCCAGUUAGCAGGAUUGGGGCUUUUAAAACGGGCGAGGCUCAUUACCCAUUUGAGCGAUGGCUCCGUGCCCUCGGGAGCCAGAAAGUAUUUUCUUUUUGCCAAGUGGUAUGUACCGUGGGCUGCAGCUCGCCUCCAGCCAGGAAGCUCAGAAUCUUUGUUGGAGGGUGUCGGAGCAGCACUGGGUCUCUCUCCAAACAGAGAGAUGAAGUUGUUGGGGAGGAUGCUGGCAAUGUCCUGAUUUCUAAGUGGGCUGCUGUAUUGCUUCUCAACCCUGGUACAUAAGAAUCACUUGGAGAAUAUUAAAAUAAUUUGAAUGCCUGGGCCCUGCCCCAGACCAACUGGAUCUGAAUUGCUGGGGGUUAUGGGGAAACCCCAGGAUUGGUAUCUCCUUUUGUUUUUUCUUAUGUUCCUCAGGUGAUUCUGUUAAGCAGCCAGAGAACUAUCCACUACAUGCUCACAAUUUAGAGAUGGAAAAGAUUUCUUCCAGGUCUGCCUUCAGAGCCUAUCGGGCGAUGUGACCAUUUGCAAUUGGCAGAUUUUCACUUCUUUUAUUUUCUCUCCUGCUUAGAGUCAUCUUUUGAUCAUCAUUUUACAGAGGACUGAAGCCAAGGAGAUCAGGAGACUCGCCAGAGGACACACAGCCAGGAUGUGGCAGAACUAGGGUUUAGAUCUGUAGCUUCUGACUCCCAAGGCAGAGCUUGUGACACUGCAGAAAAGCAGCCUUGGACCUUGAAUGAGCUUGGGACCUGUCCCUGGUGACCUGGCCACUGUGGAGGUGGUCUGGAGGGGACCAUCCCUCUUCAACCUGGUACCCUUGGGGUUCAGCUGGGGCCAACCCCAACCACUGGCUUUAGAGGCAAGCAUGUAUCCCAGGCUGGACACUGAGACUUCCCCUUGGGACUUUUGCAGCUUUUUUGUGAGGAAAAGGGCAUUCACUUUUUGUGGGAGUUGGCAGGUUGGCAGAUUAAAAGCUUGGAACUGCUGGUGGCCAUCCUGUUCUCCACUUGAGGAUGAAGCCAACAAGGAGGACAGAGACCUAAGAGAAGGCGAGCAUAUGCUGUCCAGACAUCAGUAAGGCCCUGGAUCCAGCCAUGCCUGAAGCCAACAGUACCCCUGGACCAACAUGAUUAUAUAAGUCAGUGUGUUUCUUUUUUCCUCAGAGACCAUCCUGAGCUAGGUUUCUGCCAUAGACAGGGUCUUAAUAAAUGCAAUGUUUUUCUUUGAUCUCAUUUUUCUAAAAAUCAACUUCGAGUUAUACUUUACAUGCAGUAAAACCCAUCCAUUGUAAAUGUCCAACUCAUAAGUUUUAUCAAACGCAUGUACCCUUGUAACUACCACCACCACUGAGAAUAUUUCAAGUUCUCUCAUUCCGCUUCAUGGCCCAUUUCCCUGACCCCAGACAACCACUGACCUGCCUUUGUUCUAGAGAUUCAUUUUGCCUUUUCCAGAACUCCAUAUAGAUAUUAUCACAUGGUAUGUACUCUUUUAUGUCUAGCUUUUUUUUCAGCAUGAUUUUGAGAUUCUGAGAUUCAUCCAUGUUUCUUUUUAUUGCCAAGUAGUGUUCCAUUGUAUGGAUGUACCAUAGUUUGUUUAUCCAUUUACCAGGAGGACAUUUGGGCUGUUUCCAGAUUUUGGCUGUUACAAGUAAAGCUGUUUUGAACAUUCCUGUA